AGCCUGAUGCAGCCAUGCCGCGUGUAUGAAGAAGGCCUUCGGGUUGUAAAGUACUUUCAGUUGUGAGGAAGGGGGUGUCGUUAAUAGCGGCAUCUCUUGACGUUAGCAACAGAAGAAGCACCGGCUAACUCCGUGCCAGCAGCCGCGGUAAUACGGAGGGUGCGAGCGUUAAUCGGAAUUACUGGGCGUAAAGCGCAUGCAGGUGGUUCAUUAAGUCAGAUGUGAAAGCCCGGGGCUCAACCUCGGAACUGCAUUUGAAACUGGUGAACUAGAGUACUGUAGAGGGGGGUAGAAUUUCAGGUGUAGCGGUGAAAUGCGUAGAGAUCUGAAGGAAUACCAGUGGCGAAGGCGGCCCCCUGGACAGAUACUGACACUCAGAUGCGAAAGCGUGGGGAGCAAACAGGAUUAGAUACCCUGGUAGUCCACGCCGUAAACGAUGUCUACUUGGAGGUUGUGGCCUUGAGCCGUGGCUUUCGGAGCUAACGCGUUAAGUAGACCGCCUGGG
Molecule: ribosomal RNA, 505 nt
Filed under: Vibrio sp. 3T1,1 5
Lineage: Bacteria; Pseudomonadati; Pseudomonadota; Gammaproteobacteria; Vibrionales; Vibrionaceae
Description: bacterial SSU rRNA
Rfam family: Bacterial small subunit ribosomal RNA
Source: RNAcentral